This 253-nucleotide ribosomal RNA is filed under the name uncultured bacterium. Its description in RNAcentral is "partial 16S ribosomal RNA". It matches the Rfam family "Bacterial small subunit ribosomal RNA", at positions 524 to 776 of the family's 1533-position model. The record is from RNAcentral.
UACAGAGGGGGCAAGCGUUGUUCGGAAUUACUGGGCGUAAAGGGCGCGUAGGCGGCCCGCUAAGUCGAACGUGAAAUCCCCAGGCUUAACCUGGGAACUGCGUCCGAUACUGGUGGGCUUGAAUUCGGGAGAGGGAUGUGGAAUUCCAGGUGUAGCGGUGAAAUGCGUAGAUAUCUGGAGGAACACCGGUGGCGAAGGCGGCAUCCUGGACCGAUAUUGACGCUGAGGCGCGAAAGCUAGGGUAGCAAACGGG